GGGGCAGAAUCCACUCGUUUGCGGGUAUGGAGUUUCGUGAUUGGUUCUUCUUUGACGUGACGUUUCUCUCUCUCUCUCUCUCUCUCUCUCUCUCUCUCUCUCUCUCUCUCUCUCUCUCUUACGAUGGUCCACGUCAUGAUGAGGAAGGAACCAAUCAGCGCACGUCAUACCCGGAUACGCGUGGGUUUUAUUUUUAGCGGCAGGCCGCGAGUGAGUGACGGGAAGGGGCGGCGGUCGGUCACUACAUACUCUUAGUGUAGCGGUCACUCAGUGUAGCGGUCAUUCAUUAUAGCGGUUACUUUGUGUAGCGGUCACUCAUUGUAGCAGUCAUUUAUCAAAGCGGUUACUUAGUGUAGCGGUUACUCAGUGUAGCGGUCAUUCAUUAUAGCGGUUACUUAGUGUAGCGGUCACUCAUUGUAGCGGUCAUUCAUUAUAGCGGUUACUUAGUGUAGCGGUCAUUCAUUACAGCGGUUACUUAGUGUAGAGGUCACUCAUUGUAGUAGUCACUCAAGUAUAGCGGUCACUCAUUGUAGCAGUUAUUCGGUGUAGCGUUCAUUCAUUUAGCGGUCACUUAGUAUAGCGGUCAUUCAUUUAGUGGUCACUCAAUGUAACGGUCAUUCAGUGUAGCGGUCACUCAGUGUAGCGGUCAUUCAGUUUAGCUGUCAUUCAGCGAAGCGGUCACUCAGUGUAGCGGUCAUCCAAUGUAGCGGUCACUCAGUGUAGCGGUCAUUCAAUGUAGCGGUCACUCACUGUGGCGGUCAUUCAAUGUAACGGUUACUCAGUGUAGCGGUCACUCAGUGUAACGGUUAUUCAGCGUAGCGGUCAUUCAUUCUGGCGGUCACUCAAUGUAGCGGUCAUUCAGUGUAACGGUCAUUCUUUGUAGUGGUCACUCAGUGUAGCGGUCAUCCAAUGUAGCGGUCACUUAAUGUAGCGGUCAUUCAGUGUUGUGGUCAUUCAGUGUAGCGGUCAUUCAUUCUAUCGGUCACUCAACGAAGCGGGCAUUCAUUCUAGCGGUCACUCAAUGUAGCGGUCAUUCAGUGUUGCGGUCAUUCAGUAUUGCGGUCAUUCAGUGUUGUGGUCAUUCAGUGUAGCGGUCAGUUUAAUUACUACUGAGAGCCCCUUCAGACAUAACAGGAGAUAAUGAUGUAAUUAGCGAAGGACAUAAAUAUUCCAUAGGUCGUACAUAAACAAUAUUUAAUGACAUUAUUUAACGUGUCAUAUUAUCCAAAUUGUUAUUAUUAUUUUAUUAUGUCAGUAUUUAUAUGAACAAAACCGUAAUGCAAUAUUCAGAUAUUAUUUUAUUUUUGUUUAUUUUUUUUUAAUAUUGUGUGGUUAUUUGAUCCUAUUUAAGAAGACUUUAGAGAACCAUAUACCGAACUAGUCAAUAAUUAUCAUAUACAUUACUCAUAUACAUUGGGAAUAAAUAUAUAUAUAAAUCGAUCAGGUGUUUUAAAAUAGUUUCCCGUCAAGUUUUUAUUUUUUACUCCCAAUUCUCGUUUUCUUCACAAUAAAUACCCCUCUUGUAGUGUGGGUAUAUAUUUUUACUCAUAUAUUAUAACCUGAGUCUAUGAUUGUCGACACGAUAAGGAAGGUGAAUCGUAUUAGAAAAGUUGAUUUAAUUAACAUUGAAAGAAUUGCUGGUUGAGUGAAUCAUUAUCCAAGAAUUCAUAUUUAAAAUUAAUAUUGUUUGCGGUAAUGGUAUUUGUAUUGGGCAGGUAGGGAGGAAGGCAGGUAGGUAGGGAGGUAGGUAGGUAGGCAGGGACGUAGGCAGGUAGGGAGGCAGGCAGGCAGAUAGGGAGCCAGGCAGACACGUAGGGAGGCAGGCAGCAUCAGUGAGCACACCCAACUCAUUAUAUGAUUCCAAAUGAUUUGUAAAAAAAAAAAAAAUAUUUAUGGUCAAUCCUACAUAAUCACAGCGACAUGUAAUUAUCUGCUGUGGAAUUAAGGUAAAUUGCCAUUCCGACACUAACGUUGCUGAUUACACCAAAAACCCAUUACAUAUAUUUUUGUCAUUUACCAAUUAACAUUUGUGAAACUAUAUUACGUGGCCAAUCCCCCCCACCCCACCCACCGGCGGGCCCAGGGAACUAAAAAUUAUAUCAGGUGUUUUUGAGUUUGGUGAAUAUCAAAUUGUUCUAUAUAGAUGUUAGAUGAUCCAGUCAUUGUAUGUGAAAGAAAAUCCUUUGUUGGUUUUUAUUAAUACAGAUUUAUUGAAAAGGAAUACCCAGAUUUUGAAAUGACUGUAUAUUAAAAUCUGGACAUUUUUUUUUUUUUUUUCUAUGACUCUGUAUAUAAAUCUGUGUUUUAUGAUCAGGUGAGAAGACCACACUUACAUCUUGCUCAGCUUGGAGGGGGGUCGUUCAGCACUCAACAACACGACUGGACAACAACCUCUUGGCUCACUCACAAAUUAACCCAAAGAAAAAUUAUCCACACUGGGUUAAAAAAAAAAAUCCUUUUAUACAUUUUUUAAUAUAAUUUGAAAAGUUUCUUCUUAAUUAAUUACAUUAUUACAUUACACCUAUUACACCUGUGAAACUUGAUUACCUGUAUUGCUUUAAUUAAUUCAUUUACCUGUUGUUGUUGUUUUAUCAUUACUUAAAUUACAACAUUACUGCAUCUGUGAGAUUUCAUAUGUCUUGUCGGUACGUAUGUCAAAGGUCAGCUACACCAGUCCUACCCUCCUCCUUCAGUCCUUUCCCUCCCUCCCUCCUAUCCUCAUCCCUCCCUCCUAUCCCCCUUUCCUCUCUCCUACCCCCUCUUCCUCUCUCCUACCCCCCCCCUCCUCGCAGGUGUUUCCAGGUUAAUUUUUUUUUUAUCAUGACCUUUCACCUGUAAUGACCUAAUCACCUCUCCCAUGACCUCGUUGUUCGCUGGGUUCACACAUGAGGAAAUUUACUAUGUGAUUUUGGGUCACUAUACUCUAAGGUUGACCUAACUUUCUGUGAUUUAAAAUACCAGUGAUUGUAAGUUUUUUUUAUUAUUAUUAUUGUUAUUAUGAAGAAAAUGAUGAUCUUGUUUCUUCCUUAUGUGCCAACAACAACAACAACAAUAACAACAACAACAACAACAACAACAACAACAAGA
Molecule: long non-coding RNA, 3087 nt
Filed under: Homarus americanus (American lobster)
Lineage: Eukaryota; Metazoa; Arthropoda; Malacostraca; Decapoda; Nephropidae
Description: uncharacterized LOC121871898
Source: RNAcentral